RNAcentral lists this ribosomal RNA (174 nucleotides) under uncultured bacterium. RNAcentral's name for it is "partial 16S ribosomal RNA". It matches the Rfam family "Eukaryotic small subunit ribosomal RNA", at positions 412 to 566 of the family's 1831-position model. The record is from RNAcentral.
CCCCCGUNCCGGUCCUGCCGCCCCCGCCCGCUUACGGGAGGCAGCAGGCGCGAAAAUUGCCCAAUCCUGAUUCAGGGAGGCAGUGACAAGAAAUAACAACUCUCAACAUUGUUGAGAAGUGUAAUGAGGAUAAUUUACAAACCUUACUGAAAGCAAUUGAGGGCAAGUUCUGGG